Molecule: ribosomal RNA, 253 nt
Filed under: uncultured bacterium
Lineage: Bacteria
Description: partial 16S ribosomal RNA
Rfam family: Bacterial small subunit ribosomal RNA
Source: RNAcentral
UACGAAGGGUGCUAGCGUUGUUCGGAAUCACUGGGCGUAAAGCGCGCGUAGGCGGCGAUAAAAGUCAGGGGUGAAAUCCCACAGCUCAACUGUGGAAUUGCCUUUGAAACUAGAUUGCUAGAGUGUCGGAGGGGAUAGCGGAAUUGCUAAUGUAGAGGUGAAAUUCGUAGAUAUUAGCAGGAACACCGGUGGCGAAGGCGGCUAUCUGGACGACAACUGACGCUGAGGCGCGAAAGUGUGGGGAUAAAACAGG